Molecule: transfer RNA, 61 nt
Filed under: Tettigarcta crinita (hairy cicada)
Lineage: Eukaryota; Metazoa; Arthropoda; Insecta; Hemiptera; Tettigarctidae
Description: tRNA-Ala
Source: RNAcentral
AGGGUUGUAUUUAAUUAUAAUAAUUAGCUCGCAUCUAAUAGGUGUCUAUUGACCAAUCUUA